Molecule: ribosomal RNA, 492 nt
Filed under: uncultured bacterium
Lineage: Bacteria
Description: partial 16S ribosomal RNA
Rfam family: Bacterial small subunit ribosomal RNA
Source: RNAcentral
AGUGAACGCUGGCGGUAGGCCUAACACAUGCAAGUCGAACGGCAGCACAGUAAGAGCUUGCUCUUACGGGUGGCGAGUGGCGGACGGGUGAGGAAUACAUCGGAAUCUACUUUUUCGUGGGGGAUAACGUAGGGAAACUUACGCUAAUACCGCAUACGACCUACGGGUGAAAGCAGGGGAUCUUCGGACCUUGCGCGAUUGAAUGAGCCGAUGUAGGAUUAGCUAGUUGGCGGGGCAAAGGCCCACCAAGGCGACGAUCCGUAGCUGGUCUGAGAGGAUGAUCAGCCACACUGGAACUGAGACACGGUCCAGACUCCGACGGGAGGAAGCAGUGGGGAAUAUUGGGCAAUGGGGGCGAGCCUGAUCCAGCCAUACCGCGUGGGUGAAGAAGGCCUUCGGGUUGUAGAGCCCUUUUGUUGGGAAAGAAAAGCAGCAGGUUAAUACCCCGCUGUUCUGACGGUACCCAAAGAAUAAGCACCGGCUAACUUCGUG